RNAcentral lists this ribosomal RNA (1285 nucleotides) under uncultured bacterium. RNAcentral's name for it is "partial 16S ribosomal RNA". It matches the Rfam family "Bacterial small subunit ribosomal RNA", at positions 8 to 1319 of the family's 1533-position model. The record is from RNAcentral.
AGAGUUUGAUUCUGGCUCAGGAUGAACGCUGGCGGCGCGCCUAACACAUGCAAGUCGAACGGCACCCCUCUCCGGAGGGAAGCGAGUGGCGAACGGCUGAGUAACACGUGGAGAACCUGCCCCCUCCCCCGGGAUAGCCGCCCGAAAGGACGGGUAAUACCGGAUACCCCGGGGUGCCGCAUGGCACCCCGGCUAAAGCCCCGACGGGAGGGGAUGGCUCCGCGGCCCAUCAGGUAGACGGCGGGGUGACGGCCCACCGUGCCGACAACGGGUAGCCGGGUUGAGAGACCGACCGGGCAGAUUGGGACUGAGACACGACCCAGCCUCCUACGGGAGGCAGCAGUGGGGAAUCUUGCGCAAUGGGGGGAACCCUGACGCAGCGACGCCGCGUGCGGGACGGAGGCCUUCGGGUCGUAAACCGCUUUCAGCAGGGAAGAGUCAAGACUGUACCUGCAGAAGAAGCCCCGGCUAACUACGUGCCAGCAGCCGCGGUAAUACGUAGGGGGCGAGCGUUAUCCGGAUUCAUUGGGCGUAAAGCGCGCGUAGGCGGCCCGGCAGGCCGGGGGUCGAAGCGGGGGGCUCAACCCCCCGAAGCCCCCGGAACCUCCGCGGCUUGGGUCCGGUAGGGGAGGGUGGAACACCCGGUGUAGCGGUGGAAUGCGCAGAUAUCGGGUGGAACACCGGUGGCGAAGGCGGCCCUCUGGGCCGAGACCGACGCUGAGGCGCGAAAGCUGGGGGAGCGAAAAGGAUUAGAUACCCUGGUAGUCCCAGCCGUAAACCCCCAUAAGGGGGGUGGGGGGACGAUCCCCCCCGUGCCGCAGCCAACGCAUUAUGCGUCCCGCCUGGGGGGUGCGGCCGCCCGGCUGGAUCUCUUGGGUGUUGUCGGGGGCCCGCGCCCGCUGCGGCGCGUGUGGCUUGUUUCGUUGCGGCGCGGGGUGCCUUCCCUGGGCUUGUCGUCUGGGUGGGGCGGGGGGGGCCCCGUGGCCGCGGGGGGCCCCUCCUGGUGGUGCGUGGCUGUUGUCUGCUCGUGUCGUGUGGUGUUGGGUUGUGUCCCGCGCCGCGCGCGGCCCCCGCCGCGUGUUGCCCUCGGGUGGUGCCGGGGGCCCCCGCGGGGCCGCCGCCGUCUUGGCGGGGGGGGGCGGGGGGGGCGUCUUGUCUUCUUGCCCCUUCUGCCCUGGGCUGCGCCCGUGCUGCUUUGGCCGGUGCUGGGGGGUGCCGCCCCGCGCGGGGGGGCGGGUCCCGGCCCGCCGGCCCCCGUUCGGUUUGGGGGGUGCGGCCCGCCCCC